This 465-nucleotide ribosomal RNA is filed under the name Vreelandella stevensii. RNAcentral's name for it is "partial 16S ribosomal RNA". It matches the Rfam family "Bacterial small subunit ribosomal RNA", at positions 338 to 795 of the family's 1533-position model. The record is from RNAcentral. Lineage: Bacteria; Pseudomonadati; Pseudomonadota; Gammaproteobacteria; Oceanospirillales; Halomonadaceae.
CCUACGGGAGGCUGCAGUGGGGAAUAUUGGACAAUGGGGGGAACCCUGAUCCAGCCAUGCCGCGUGUGUGAAGAAGGCCCUCGGGUUGUAAAGCACUUUCAGUGAGGAAGAACGCCUGGUGGUUAAUACCCAUCAGGAAAGACAUCACUCACAGAAGAAGCACCGGCUAACUCCGUGCCAGCAGCCGCGGUAAUACGGAGGGUGCGAGCGUUAAUCGGAAUUACUGGGCGUAAAGCGCGCGUAGGUGGCUUGAUAAGCCGGUUGUGAAAGCCCCGGGCUCAACCUGGGAACGGCAUCCGGAACUGUCAAGCUAGAGUGCAGGAGAGGAAGGUAGAAUUCCCGGUGUAGCGGUGAAAUGCGUAGAGAUCGGGAGGAAUAACAGUGGCGAAGGCGGCCUUCUGGACUGACACUGACACUGAGGUGCGAAAGCGUGGGUAGCAAACAGGAUUAGAUACCCUAGUAGUC